RNAcentral lists this ribosomal RNA (1183 nucleotides) under Chryseobacterium aquaticum. RNAcentral describes it as "bacterial SSU rRNA". It matches the Rfam family "Bacterial small subunit ribosomal RNA", at positions 99 to 1289 of the family's 1533-position model. Lineage: Bacteria; Pseudomonadati; Bacteroidota; Flavobacteriia; Flavobacteriales; Weeksellaceae. The record is from RNAcentral.
CGCACGGGUGCGGAACACGUGUGCAACCUGCCUUUAUCUGGGGGAUAGCCUUUCGAAAGGAAGAUUAAUACCCCAUAAUAUAUUGAGUGGCAUCACUUGAUAUUGAAAACUCCGGUGGAUAGAGAUGGGCACGCGCAAGAUUAGAUAGUUGGUGAGGUAACGGCUCACCAAGUCAAUGAUCUUUAGGGGGCCUGAGAGGGUGAUCCCCCACACUGGUACUGAGACACGGACCAGACUCCUACGGGAGGCAGCAGUGAGGAAUAUUGGACAAUGGGUGAGAGCCUGAUCCAGCCAUCCCGCGUGAAGGACGACUGCCCUAUGGGUUGUAAACUUCUUUUAUACUGGGAUAAACCUACCCUUCGUGAGGGUAGCUGAAGGUACAGUAUGAAUAAGCACCGGCUAACUCCGUGCCAGCAGCCGCGGUAAUACGGAGGGUGCAAGCGUUAUCCGGAUUUAUUGGGUUUAAAGGGUCCGUAGGCGGACUCGUAAGUCAGUGGUGAAAUCUCAUAGCUUAACUAUGAAACUGCCAUUGAUACUGCGGGUCUUGAGUAAAGUAGAAGUGGCUGGAAUAAGUAGUGUAGCGGUGAAAUGCAUAGAUAUUACUUAGAACACCAAUUGCGAAGGCAGGUCACUAUGUUUUAACUGACGCUGAUGGACGAAAGCGUGGGGAGCGAACAGGAUUAGAUACCCUGGUAGUCCACGCCGUAAACGAUGCUAACUCGUUUUUGGGUUUUCGGAUUCAGAGACUAAGCGAAAGUGAUAAGUUAGCCACCUGGGGAGUACGUUCGCAAGAAUGAAACUCAAAGGAAUUGACGGGGGCCCGCACAAGCGGUGGAUUAUGUGGUUUAAUUCGAUGAUACGCGAGGAACCUUACCAAGGCUUAAAUGGGAAUUGACAGGUUUAGAAAUAGAUCCUUCUUCGGACAAUUUUCAAGGUGCUGCAUGGUUGUCGUCAGCUCGUGCCGUGAGGUGUUAGGUUAAGUCCUGCAACGAGCGCAACCCCUGUCACUAGUUGCCAUCAUUCAGUUGGGGACUCUAGUGAGACUGCCUACGCAAGUAGAGAGGAAGGUGGGGAUGACGUCAAAUCAUCACGGCCCUUACGCCUUGGGCCACACACGUAAUACAAUGGCCGGUACAGAGGGCAGCUACUAUGCGAAUAGAUGCGAAUCUCGAAAGCCGGUCUC